RNAcentral lists this ribosomal RNA (251 nucleotides) under uncultured prokaryote. RNAcentral's name for it is "partial 16S rRNA". It matches the Rfam family "Bacterial small subunit ribosomal RNA", at positions 525 to 775 of the family's 1533-position model. The record is from RNAcentral.
ACAGAGGGGGCAAGCGUUAUUCGGAAUUAUUGGGAGUAAAGGGCGCGUAGGCGGUGCUUUAAGUGAGAUGUGUAAUCCCCGAGCUUAACUUGGGAACUGCAUCUCAGACUGGGGCGCUAGAGUACUGGAGAGGGUGGUAGAAUUCCACGUGUAGCGGUGAAAUGCGUAGAGAUGUGGAGGAAUACCGAGGGCGUAGUCAGCCACCUGUACAGUAACUAACGCUAACGCGUUAAAAUGUUGGUACCAAACAG